Nematostella vectensis (starlet sea anemone) is the source of this 380-nucleotide long non-coding RNA. RefSeq lists it as uncharacterized. Lineage: Eukaryota; Metazoa; Cnidaria; Anthozoa; Actiniaria; Edwardsiidae. The transcript is spliced from 2 exons. The record is from RefSeq and is a predicted model, not a curated record.
UUUUCCUGAAUAGGAUGCAUUAUUUGUCUCGCAAUUUACUGUGCAUAUGUGUUUUGCUUUCUGCUCGAGGGAAUUUGCAAAACUUGUGAAAACUCCCAGGGAGAGAGUGAUUCGCGUGCGCUUUUAUCCCAGGAGCGAAUGGGUUAAAAGAAUAUAUAUCAUGCCAAAGAAAAGAACUGCUUUUAUCAAGGGAAAGUGAAACUCCUACAUCAGACCUCCAACCCAGCUAAAAAACGCUCAAGAGCCGACAAAAGCAGAAAACACACAGAAUAUACAAGCAGGACUCUUAUCUACAAAAAUCAGAAAUGCUGACAAGGGCAAGACAAGGACAAGAAGUAUUAUUUUUUAUUUGAGAUCGCAUUAAAGGCGAGAUGACAUCA